CUGAAGAUAACGGGGGAUCUAGAGACUGCGCCUAGCGUGUGCUCGGUCCUCCAUUCUUUCAUCCACACACACCUUUGUGCACUAUGGGGACGUCAUGUCCCCCUUUUUCAUACCAAACACCUAGUUUAAAUGCAUGUCAUAUGAUUGCUCUAAGGAGUAAAAUGUAA
RNAcentral lists this unclassified non-coding RNA (167 nucleotides) under uncultured Agaricomycetes. RNAcentral's name for it is "sequence contains ITS1". Lineage: Eukaryota; Fungi; Basidiomycota; Agaricomycetes. The record is from RNAcentral.